GAUGAACGCUCGCUACAGGCUUAACACAUGCAAGUCGAGGGGCAGCAUGAACUUAGCUUGCUAAGUUUGAUGGCGACCGGCGCACGGGUGAGUAACACGUAUCCAACCUGCCGAUGACUCGGGGAUAGCCUUUCGAAAGAAAGAUUAAUACCCGAUGGCAUAGUUCUUCCGCAUGGUAGAACUAUUAAAGAAUUUCGGUCAUCGAUGGGGAUGCGUUCCAUUAGGUUGUUGGCGGGGUAACGGCCCACCAAGCCUUCGAUGGAUAGGGGUUCUGAGAGGAAGGUCCCCCACAUUGGAACUGAGACACGGUCCAAACGCCUACGGGAGGCAGCAGUGAGGAAUAUUGGUCAAUGGACGAGAGUCUGAACCAGCCAAGUAGCGUGAAGGAUGACUGCACUAUGGGUUGUAAACUUCUUUUAUACGGGAAUAAAGUGAGGCACGGGUGCCUUUUUGUAUGUACCGUAUGAAUAAGGAUCGGCUAACUCCGUG
RNAcentral lists this ribosomal RNA (489 nucleotides) under uncultured bacterium. RNAcentral describes it as "partial 16S ribosomal RNA". It matches the Rfam family "Bacterial small subunit ribosomal RNA", at positions 28 to 507 of the family's 1533-position model. The record is from RNAcentral.